Molecule: ribosomal RNA, 1798 nt
Filed under: [Clostridium] scindens ATCC 35704
Lineage: Bacteria; Bacillati; Bacillota; Clostridia; Lachnospirales; Lachnospiraceae
Description: bacterial LSU rRNA
Rfam family: Bacterial large subunit ribosomal RNA
Source: RNAcentral
UCAGAAGCAGGCCAUGCAUUCAAAGAGUGCGUAAUAGCUCACUAGUCGAGAGGUCCCGCGCCGAAAAUGUCCGGGGCUGAAACACACUGCCGAAGCCCGGGGAUGUACCAAGUACAUCGGUAGAGGAGCAUUGGAUGCGGGAGGAAGCGGCACCGGAAGGAGCCGUGGACCGCAUCGAAGAGAGAAUGCCGGAAUGAGUAGCGAGAGGAAGGUGGGAAUCCUUCCGGCCGAAUAUCCAAGGUUUCCAGAGUAAAGCUGAUCUGCUCUGGGUAAGUCGGGGCCUAAGGCGAGGGCGGGAGCCGUAGCCGAUGGACAACAGGUUGAGAUUCCUGUACCGCGAUAUGACAGAACUGUGGGGACACGCGUGGAAAGCAUAAGCCGGGAAUGGAAAGACCGGCGCAAGCGGGGUAGGGGCUGCAUAGGCAAAUCCGUGCAGCGUAACCCGAAGCCGUGACGCGUACCGAACUGCAAGUAGGGAAGUAUGCGAGCCAUGCGUCAAGAAAAGCCGCUAUCGCUCAUAUCGCGCCCGUACCGCAAACCGACACAGGUAGAUGAGGAGAGAAUCCUAAGGCCGACGGGAGAAGCAUUGUCAAGGAACUCGGCAAAAUGACUCCGUAACUUCGGGAGAAGGAGUGCCAUAGAGAUAUGGCCGCAGAGAAUUGGCCCAAGCAACUGUUUAGCAAAAACACAGGUCUAUGCGAAGCCGCAAGGCGAGGUAUAUGGGCUGACGCCUGCCCGGUGCUGGAAGGUUAAGGGGAGAGGUUAGAGCGAUCGAAGCCUUGAACUUAAGCCCCAGUAAACGGCGGCCGUAACUAUAACGGUCCUAAGGUAGCGAAAUUCCUUGUCGGGUAAGUUCCGACCCGCACGAAAGGCGUAAUGAUUUGGGCACUGUCUCGACAAUGCACCCGGUGAAAUUGAAGUACCAGUGAAGAUGCUGGUUACCCGCGCCAGGACGGAAAGACCCCAUGGAGCUUUACUCCAGCUUGAUACUGGGAUCCGGUAUUGCAUGUACAGGAUAGGUGGGAGGCUAGGAAGCGAUGACGCCAGUCGUCGCGGAGCCGCUGUUGGGAUACCACCCUUGCAGUGCUGGGUUUCUAACCAGCAGCCGUGAACCGGCUGGGGGACAAUGUCAGGCGGGGAGUUUGACUGGGGCGGUCGCCUCCGAAAGGGUAUCGGAGGCGCUCAAAGGUCCUCUCAGAAUGGUCGGAAACCAUUCGCAGAGCGCAAAGGCAGAAGAGGGCUUGACUGCGACACCGACGGGUGGAGCAGGUACGAAAGUAGGACUUAGUGAUCCGGUGGUAUAAAGUGGGAUUGCCAUCGCUCAACGGAUAAAAGCUACCCUGGGGAUAACAGGCUUAUCACUCCCAAGAGUUCACAUCGACGGAGUGGUUUGGCACCUCGAUGUCGGCUCAUCGCAUCCUGGGGCUGAAGUAGGUCCCAAGGGUUGGGCUGUUCGCCCAUUAAAGCGGUACGCGAGCUGGGUUCAGAACGUCGUGAGACAGUUCGGUCCCUAUCCGGCGCGGGCGUAGGAUAUUUGAGAGGAGCUGUCCUUAGUACGAGAGGACCGGGAUGGACUGGCCGCUGGUGGAUCUGUUGCGCCUCCAGGCGCAUGGCAGAGUAGCCAAGCCGGGACGGGAUAAACGCUGAAGGCAUCUAAGCGUGAAGCCCCCCUCGAGAUGAGAUAUCCCUGGCGUUAAGCCAGUAAGACCCCUUGAAGACGACGAGGUAGAUAGGAUAGAGGUGGAAUUGCAGCAAUGCAUGGAGCUGACUAUUACUAAUCGGUCGAGGGCAUGACCAG